GAUGAACGCUAGCGGCAGGCCUAACACAUGCAAGUCGAGGGGUAACAGAGAGAGCUUGCUCUUUGCUGACGACCGGCGCACGGGUGCGUAACGCGUAUGCAAUCUGCCUUGUACUGAGGGAUAGCCCGAAGAAAUUUGGAUUAAUACCUCAUAGUAUUAUUGAAUCGCAUGGUUUAAUAAUUAAAGGUUACGGUACAAGAUGAGCAUGCGUCCUAUUAGCUAGAUGGUAAGGUAACGGCUUACCAUGGCUACGAUAGGUAGGGGUCCUGAGAGGGAGAUCCCCCACACUGGUACUGAGACACGGACCAGACUCCUACGGGAGGCAGCAGUGAGGAAUAUUGGACAAUGGGCGCAAGCCUGAUCCAGCCAUGCCGCGUGCAGGAAGACGGCCCCUAUGGGUUUGUAAAAACUGCUUUUGUACGGGAAGAAACCUACCCUCGUGAGGGUAGCUGACGGUACCGUAAGAAUAAGCACCGGCUAACUCCGUG
This 488-nucleotide ribosomal RNA is filed under the name uncultured bacterium. Its description in RNAcentral is "bacterial SSU rRNA". It matches the Rfam family "Bacterial small subunit ribosomal RNA", at positions 28 to 507 of the family's 1533-position model. The record is from RNAcentral.